UACGGAAGGCAGCAGUGGGGAAUAUUGCACAAUGGGCGCAAGCCUGAUGCAGCCAUGCCGCGUGUAUGAAGAAGGCCUUCGGGUUGUAAAGUACUUUCAGUCGUGAGGAAGGUGUUAAGGUUAAUAACCUUAGCAAUUGACGUUAGCGACAGAAGAAGCACCGGCUAACUCCGUGCCAGCAGCCGCGGUAAUACGGAGGGUGCGAGCGUUAAUCGGAAUUACUGGGCGUAAAGGGCACGCAGGCGGUUAAUUAAGUUGGAUGUGAAAUCCCCGGGCUUAACCUGGGAAUGGCAUUCAAGACUGGUUAGCUAGAGUCUUGUAGAGGGGGUAGAAUUCCAUGUGUAGCGGUGAAAUGCGUAGAGAUGUGGAGGAAUACCGGUGGCGAAGGCGGCCCCUGGACAAAGGCUGACGCUCAGUGUGACGAAGC
Molecule: ribosomal RNA, 427 nt
Filed under: uncultured bacterium
Lineage: Bacteria
Description: bacterial SSU rRNA
Rfam family: Bacterial small subunit ribosomal RNA
Source: RNAcentral